AUCGUAUUACCUCCGUACCAAAUUAUUUGUCUUAGAUUUGUCUAGAUACGGAUAUAUCUAACACUAAAACAUGUCUAGAUACAUCCAUAUCUAAAAAAAAUUAAGACAAGUAAUUUGAGACGGAGGGAGUACUAA
Non-coding RNA from Triticum aestivum (bread wheat), 135 nucleotides. The record is from Rfam. Lineage: Eukaryota; Viridiplantae; Streptophyta; Magnoliopsida; Poales; Poaceae.